This 253-nucleotide ribosomal RNA is filed under the name uncultured bacterium. RNAcentral describes it as "partial 16S ribosomal RNA". It matches the Rfam family "Bacterial small subunit ribosomal RNA", at positions 524 to 776 of the family's 1533-position model. The record is from RNAcentral.
UACGUAGGGGGCAAGCGUUGUCCGGAAUCAUUGGGCGUAAAGCGCGCGCAGGCGGUUUCUUAAGUCUGAUGUGAAAGCCCACGGCUUAACCGUGGAAGGUCAUUGGAAACUGGGAGACUUGAGUGCAGAAGAGAAGAGCGGAAUUCCACGUGUAGCGGUGAAAUGCGUAGAGAUGUGGAGGAACACCAGUGGCGAAGGCGGCUCUGUGGUCUGUAACUGACGCUGAGGCGCGAAAGCGUGGGGAUCAAACAGG